CACAGUUGUCUCACUUUCUCACUCAUAUUCACCAUUGACUUCAUCGAACUCAGAACCUCACACUACCAAUUUCCUUCUUUUCUCCAAAUUUAGGGUUAAGAUUUCUAAUGCAUCAUCACUUGUCUCAACCUUCUCUACAAAACCCUUGACCUUCUUAGUGAGGGAACCAAGAGACCACUACGUCUCGACAAGUCUACCACUGUGAGAUCUGGUACACACAAUCUCGAUUGCUUCCACAUCAAAGCUAUGGGUUUCAUUUUUCUUGAUACUUUAUUGGACUGUAAUGAAAAGACUAAAGAAUCUGGAACAGCAAAGGAAAAACAUGUCAGUGCACAAUAAUGCAUAUCUUUACCUGACCAACUAAAUGUGAAGGAUAUGUAAGUUGUGAAAUUUGUAGAAAAUGUUGAUAUAGAUGGACCUUCUACUCUGUGCUUCGAUCUAUUAAUUAAGCAUUUAGAUUGUUUCGGAUUUGGCUAAAUUGUUUGUGUGUAUGUCAGUUAUGUUGACUCUUGUAUUAGGUGUGUGCAGAGCAUAGUGCACGAACACAUUGGUGCCAUAUGAUUCUUCCGGUUAAGGAUCUUGUCAGCAGGUGCAUUAUUGUGCUUUUUUUAUUUUAUUUUCUAGUAGCAUGUGAUAAAUAAGUUUUGUUUUUUUAAUGAUAUGAUUCAAAUUCUUGUAAGUAAUUAAAAAAUUGUAAUUAAAUUUUUUAUUGAGACUAAUUGAUUGAACAAGUAUUUUCUUGUUAUACUAUGUUAAUAUUUGUAUUCUGAGAAGAAUUGAUGUUAUUUUUGCAGAAAUGUUAAGUUACAAAAUCA
This is a long non-coding RNA of Lathyrus oleraceus (garden pea), 815 nucleotides long. RefSeq lists it as uncharacterized. The transcript has 2 exons. Lineage: Eukaryota; Viridiplantae; Streptophyta; Magnoliopsida; Fabales; Fabaceae. The record is from RefSeq and is a predicted model, not a curated record.